RNAcentral lists this ribosomal RNA (460 nucleotides) under uncultured Methylomirabilota bacterium. Its description in RNAcentral is "bacterial SSU rRNA". It matches the Rfam family "Bacterial small subunit ribosomal RNA", at positions 977 to 1434 of the family's 1533-position model. The record is from RNAcentral. Lineage: Bacteria; Methylomirabilota (SeqCode).
GGGCUUGACAUCCCACGAACCUGCCUGAAAGGGCAGGGUGCCCGCAAGGGAGCGUGGAGACAGGUGGUGCAUGGCUGUCGUCAGCUCGUGUCGUGAGAUGUUGGGUUAAGUCCCGCAACGAGCGCAACCCUCACCCCUAGUUGCCACCGGGUAAAGCCGAGCACUCGAGGGGAACUGCCCCGGUCAACGGGGAGGAAGGCGGGGAUGACGUCAAGUCAUCAUGCCCCUUACGUCCUGGGCUACACACGUGCUACAAUGGCCGGUACAAAGGGAUGCCACACCGCGAGGUAGAGCUAAACCCAAAAAGCCGGUCUAAGUUCAGAUUGGAGUCUGCAACUCGACUCCAUGAAGGAGGAAUCGCUAGUAAUCGCGUAUCAGCACGACGCGGUGAAUACGUUCCCGGGCCUUGUACACACCGCCCGUCACACCACGAAAGCCAGCUGUACUCGAAGUCGCUGAG